AAAUUUGAAAUCUGGUAGCCUUCGGCUGCCCGAGUUGUAAUCUAGAGAAGUGUUUUCCGUGCCGGCCCAUGUACAAGUCCCUUGGAACAGGGCGUCAUAGAGGGUGAGAAUCCCGUCCUUGACAUGGACCCCCGGUGCUUUGUGAUACACUUUCAACGAGUCGAGUUGUUUGGGAAUGCAGCUCAAAAUGGGUGGUGAAUUCCAUCUAAAGCUAAAUAUUGGCGAGAGACCGAUAGCGAACAAGUACCGUGAGGGAAAGAUGAAAAGCACUUUGGAAAGAGAGUUAAACAGUACGUGAAAUUGUUGAAAGGGAAACGAUUGAAGUCAGUCAUGCUCUUUGGAUUCAGCCGUUCUGCGGUGUAUUUCCAUUGAGUGGGGUCAACAUCAGUUUUGAUCGCUGGAUAAAGGCACUAGGAAGGUAGCACUCUCGGGUGAACUUAUAGCCUAGCGUCAUAUACAGUGAUUGGGACUGAGGAACGCAGCAUGCCUUUAUGGCCGGGAUUCGUCCACGUACAUGCUUAGGAUGUUGACAUAAUGGCUUUAAACGACCCGUCUUG
Molecule: ribosomal RNA, 557 nt
Filed under: Naganishia uzbekistanensis
Lineage: Eukaryota; Fungi; Basidiomycota; Tremellomycetes; Filobasidiales; Filobasidiaceae
Description: eukaryotic LSU rRNA
Rfam family: Eukaryotic large subunit ribosomal RNA
Source: RNAcentral